GAACCACAUCCACGGGCCUAUUCACCAAGU
RNAcentral lists this small RNA (30 nucleotides) under Bombyx mori (domestic silkworm). RNAcentral's name for it is "ovarian small RNA-5008". The record is from RNAcentral. Lineage: Eukaryota; Metazoa; Arthropoda; Insecta; Lepidoptera; Bombycidae.